UACAGAGGUGGCAAGCGUUGUUCGGAAUUACUGGGCGUAAAGGGCGCGUAGGCGGUUCGUUAAGUCCUGUGUGAAAUCCCCCGGCUCAACUGGGGAACCGCGUCCGAUACUGUCUGUCUUGAGGACGAGAGGGGAGAGUGGAACUUCUGGUGGAGCGGUGAAAUGCGUAGAUAUCAGAAGGAACACCGGUGGCGAAGGCGACUCUCUGGCUCGUAUCUGACGCUGAGGCGCGAAAGCUUGGGUAGCAAACGGG
This 253-nucleotide ribosomal RNA is filed under the name uncultured bacterium. RNAcentral describes it as "partial 16S ribosomal RNA". It matches the Rfam family "Bacterial small subunit ribosomal RNA", at positions 524 to 776 of the family's 1533-position model. The record is from RNAcentral.